GUGGGGAAUCUUGCGCAAUGGGCGAAAGCCUGACGCAGCCAUGCCGCGUGAAUGAUGAAGGUCUUAGGAUUGUAAAAUUCUUUCACCGGGGACGAUAAUGACGGUACCCGGAGAAGAAGCUCCGGCUAACUUCGUGCCAGCAGCCGCGGUAAUACGAAGGGGGCUAGCGUUGCUCGGAAUUACUGGGCGUAAAGGGCGCGUAGGCGGACAGCUUAGUCAGAGGUGAAAGCACAGGGCUCAACCUUGGAAUUGCCUUUGAUACUGGCUGUCUUGAGUUUGGGAGAGGUGGGUGGAACUCCGAGUGUAGAGGUGAAAUUCGUAGAUAUUCGGAAGAACACCAGUGGCGAAGGCGACUCACUGGCCCAAUACUGACGCUGAGGCGCGAAAGCGUGGGGAGCAAACAGGAUUAGAAACCCGAGUAGUCC
RNAcentral lists this ribosomal RNA (425 nucleotides) under uncultured bacterium. Its description in RNAcentral is "partial 16S ribosomal RNA". It matches the Rfam family "Bacterial small subunit ribosomal RNA", at positions 354 to 796 of the family's 1533-position model. The record is from RNAcentral.